RNAcentral lists this ribosomal RNA (275 nucleotides) under uncultured bacterium. RNAcentral describes it as "partial 16S ribosomal RNA". It matches the Rfam family "Bacterial small subunit ribosomal RNA", at positions 399 to 691 of the family's 1533-position model. The record is from RNAcentral.
GCGUGUGUGAUGAAGGCCCUAGGGUUGUAAAGCACUUUCGCCGGUGACGAUGAUGACGGUAGCCGGAUAAGAAGCCCCGGCUAACUCCGUGCCAGCAGCCGCGGUAAUACGGAGGGGGCGAGCGUUGUUCGGAAUUACUGGGCGUAAAGGGCGCGUAGGCGGCGGUGUCAGUCGGGCGUGAAAGCCCCGGGCUCAACCUGGGAUGUGCGUUCGAUACUGCAUUGCUUGAGAGCGGAAGAGGGUAGUGGAAUUCCCAGUGUAGAGGUGAAAUUCGU